This is a long non-coding RNA of Felis catus (domestic cat), 327 nucleotides long. RefSeq lists it as uncharacterized. The transcript is spliced from 2 exons. The record is from RefSeq and is a predicted model, not a curated record. Lineage: Eukaryota; Metazoa; Chordata; Mammalia; Carnivora; Felidae.
UUCACCUUGACCAUGUCCUUUAGAAUCAGGUGGGUCAUCACCAGCCCUGCUGUUCUCCGCACCUGCUGAGCUGGGUCCCGGAGCCUAGGAGUGAAAUCUCAAGUCACUGGCACUAAUGUCUUCUGCUCCUGCUCUUCCCGAAGAACCCGGCGCCGACAGAGCUCCCCGCUCACUGCCUGUUCCAAGUGCACCAGCUGCUGCAGAGCCACAUCUCCAGCCAGGGACAGCAGGUUCAUCAACAGGAAAGUGGGGAGCAUGGGGGUGUCCUCUGGAGGAGGGGAGGGAAAGCAGGGAGAAAGAGAUAAAAUUAAAUCUCACAGGACCCUG